GCGGGUGUAGCUCAAUGGUAGAGCGUCAGCCUUCCAAGCUGGUUGCGUGAGUUCGAUUCUCAUCACCCGCUCCA
RNAcentral lists this transfer RNA (74 nucleotides) under Clostridia bacterium. Its description in RNAcentral is "tRNA-Gly". It matches the Rfam family "tRNA". From Rfam's summary of the family: Transfer RNA (tRNA) molecules are approximately 80 nucleotides in length. Lineage: Bacteria; Bacillati; Bacillota; Clostridia. The record is from RNAcentral.